UGGGGAAUAUUGGACAAUGGGCGAAAGCCUGAUCCAGCAAUGCCGCGUGAGUGAUGAAGGCCUUCGGGUUGUAAAGCUCUGUCGGGGGGGACGAACAGGUUCGGGUAACGCCGGACUCUGACGGUACCUCCAAAGGAAGCACCGGCUAACUCUGUGCCAGCAGCCGCGGUAAUACAGAGGGUGCAAGCGUUGUUCGGAAUUACUGGGCGUAAAGCGCGUGUAGGCUGCGGUAUAAGUCGGAUGUGAAAGCCCUCAGCUUAACUGAGGAAGUGCAUCCGAUACUGUAUCGCUUGAGUGUCGGAGGGGAUGGCGGAAUUCCCGGUGUAGAGGUGAAAUUCGUAGAUAUCGGGAGGAACACCUGUGGCGAAGGCGGCCAUCUGGACGACGACUGACGCUGAGACGCGAAAGCGUGGGUAGCAAACAGG
RNAcentral lists this ribosomal RNA (425 nucleotides) under uncultured bacterium. RNAcentral describes it as "bacterial SSU rRNA". It matches the Rfam family "Bacterial small subunit ribosomal RNA", at positions 355 to 776 of the family's 1533-position model. The record is from RNAcentral.